This 555-nucleotide ribosomal RNA is filed under the name uncultured Glomus. RNAcentral describes it as "SSU rRNA". It matches the Rfam family "Eukaryotic small subunit ribosomal RNA", at positions 548 to 1101 of the family's 1831-position model. Lineage: Eukaryota; Fungi; Glomeromycota; Glomeromycetes; Glomerales; Glomeraceae. The record is from RNAcentral.
UUGGAGGGCAAGUCUGGUGCCAGCAGCCGCGGUAAUUCCAGCUCCAAUAGCGUAUAUUAAAGUUGUUGCAGUUAAAAAGCUCGUAGUUGAAUUUCGGGGUUAGUAGGUUGGUCAUGCCUCUGGUAUGUACUGGUCUCACUGAUUCCUCCUUCCUGAUGAGCCGUAAUGCCAUUAAUUUGGUGUUGCGGGGAAUUUGGACUGUUACUUUGAAAAAAUUAGAGUGUUUAAAGCAAGCUAACGCUUGAAUACAUUAGCAUGGAAUAAUGAAAUAGGACGUUCGAUCCUAUUUUGUUGGUUUCUAGGAUUGACGUAAUGAUUAAUAGGGAUAGUUGGGGGCAUUAGUAUUCAAUUGUCAGAGGUGAAAUUCUUGGAUUUAUUGAAGACUAACUACUGCGAAAGCAUUUGCCAAGGAUGUUUUCAUUAAUCAAGAACGAAAGUUAGGGGAUCGAAGACGAUCAGAUACCGUCGUAGUCUUAACCAUAAACUAUGCCGACUAGGGAUCGGAUGAUGUUAAUUUUUUAAUGACUCAUUCGGCGCCUUACGGGAAAAAGCCGA